This 483-nucleotide ribosomal RNA is filed under the name uncultured Cytophagales bacterium. RNAcentral's name for it is "bacterial SSU rRNA". It matches the Rfam family "Bacterial small subunit ribosomal RNA", at positions 28 to 505 of the family's 1533-position model. Lineage: Bacteria; Pseudomonadati; Bacteroidota; Sphingobacteriia; Sphingobacteriales. The record is from RNAcentral.
GAUGAACACUAGCGGCAGGCUUCAGACAUGCAAGUCGAGGGGCAGCAUGAACACUUCGGUGUUUGAUGGCGACCGGCGCACGGGUGCGUAACACGUAUGCAAUCUACCUUGUACAGGGGCAUAGCCUCGAGAAAUCGAGAUUAAUACCCCAUAUCAUCUUUUUGUCGCAUGACGGAUAGAUAAAAGCUUCGGCGGUACAAGAUGAGCAUGCGCCCUAUUAGCUUGUUGGUGAGGUAACGGCUCACCAAGGCGACGAUAGGUAGGGGUUCUGAGAGGAAGGUCCCCCACACUGGCACUGAGACACGGGCCAGACUCCUACGGGAGGCAGCAGUCGGGAAUAUUGGUCAAUGGGCGAAAGCCUGAACCAGCCAUGCCGCGUGCAGGAAUGAAGGCCUUUUGGUUGUAAACUGCUUUUGUACGAGAAAAAUAAGCUCCUGCGGGAGUGAAUGAUGGUAUCGUAAGAAUAAGUACCGGCUAAUUCCG